GCGCACGUGGCGGAAUUGGUAGACGCGCAUGAUUCAGGUUCAUGUGUCCUCACGGACGUGGAGGUUCGAUUCCUCUCGUGCGCACCA
RNAcentral lists this transfer RNA (87 nucleotides) under Haloferula rosea. RNAcentral describes it as "tRNA-Leu". It matches the Rfam family "tRNA". Rfam says of the family: Transfer RNA (tRNA) molecules are approximately 80 nucleotides in length. The record is from RNAcentral. RNAcentral also lists the same sequence under 3 other names. Lineage: Bacteria; Pseudomonadati; Verrucomicrobiota; Verrucomicrobiia; Verrucomicrobiales; Verrucomicrobiaceae.